UUCACUUAUCGACCUCGUGUGCGUGGUGAAUUCAAUUUAGCUCUUCCCUUAUUCAUGUUAUUUUACUACUAAUGGAUGUCUACUUGGAUCAGACUAGAACUACUAGAAAGUAGAUGUAAACAAUUACAUAUCGUGCUGCGACUUGCGCGUCAAGUAGGUAAACGGCAAAAAUAAUGCCAAAGACAUACCUACAUAUAAGACUUAUAUCUAUGGCCAAAGACAAAAUUAUUGGUCCCAAUUUUUAAGUCAAUGUUCGCAUUCGCGAAUGUAUAAGAAAUGAAAUUCGUUACAUCAUUAGUACCUACCCACUUUAAUAUGUUUUUUUGUAGAAGCUCCAGUAUCUGCCAUAGAAAAGAUACUUACAGUAGGUACUUAUAUAUGGAUACUUACAAAAUGUUUGAUUACACAUGAUAGCAGAUAUUUUAGAUCGCUGCACGAAAACCAGGAACGGUGAAGGUGUUCAGCCUCUGAAAAUAGUUGAAUAAACGACAAAAACACUUUUCCUCAUCAUUGGGUAUAUCAUACCUAUAUUAUGUAUUUUCCUGUGGCCACAAACUUUAUUGCCGACUAAACACUGUCCAGGUUUGGAAAAGUAGGAGUAGGAACGGGGUGGUUUUCAGUCAGUAAGUCUGACACUCCCUCUCGCCUCGCCCAAGGCGGGCGAAGUCAUAAGAUGUCCCCGGUCCAGGUCCAGGUAGACGCUUGGUAUUUUGUGACUUAUUACUUUCCUGGCUAUCUUAUUCCUACUCCUACAGGUACCUGCUAUGCUUACCAUCCCCAAACUAUAUUUGCUUUUUCAAAUAAUCAGGUAGAUAACCAAUUUAGAAAUAACUAAAUCAAGAAAUAAUAUCGGUUGAUUUGGCUCCACAUUAAUUUUAAAACCUGGGGGCCUAGACAAAAUCCAAGCGUUUUCCGCACAAUCGUUUUCCGUUCACGCUAAGGACUUUGCGUUAGCGUGUCGAAAAUGGUAGACAAGUUACAAAUGGAACGCGAAACGCUCAUUCCGCAGCGUUAACCGAAACACUCUAUAAUUAGGCUAUGGAAUAGCGUUUGUAAAUGUUACAGCGACAUUAUUGCGCUGUCAAUGUCAAACACAACAUACGCGGGAUAACAAAAUUAUUCAAAAGUUUUGUGUGUUGGAACUUGGAAGUGAUUGAAGAGUAAAUUAUUACAAAGAAAGUAAGUAAACAUGUUUAAAUAACAAUUCAAGUAAAUGUAAGAACUGUAAGAUUACAGUUCUACUGUAAUCUUACAGUUCAGUAGGUACUAGUUAGUAUCUUUAUAAUGUAAUAAAAUAGUUUUAUUGCGAUGAGUAUUCAAAUCAAUCCACCCCGAAGGCUACCCACUGACCUAAUAUUUUUUUAAAUUUUAGAUGGAAUCUAGACUUCGUGCGAGUCCCGAGCAAUUUAGUUUACUAAUAGAAUUUAUGGAAAGCCAUGGUGAUCUUUCAAGGCCUCAAAUGGGACUUCAAGGAAAGGUUCGGAGUGAAGGUUUGUGGCAGGAAUUGGCAGAAAUUUUAAAUGCAGUGGGUGGUGGUAUUAACAAAACAGCUGACAAAUGGAAAAGGGUAUGGUCUGACUGGAAGACCAAAACAAAAAAGAAGGCCUCUGUUAUAAAUCGGGACAUCCAUGGUACUGGUGGUGGGCCCAGUAGGGGAAAACCAUUGAGUCGUCUUGAGGAAAGGGUGUUAAGAAUAAUUGGGGUCAGCUCAAUUACUGGUAAUCAAGCUGUACAAGAAGCAGGCUUUCAAGAAGAACCUCAACCUCAAGUAAGACAUGCAGCUGAUACAACAGACACGGUACCAUCACUAGUGGAUGAGACAGAGUUCACUAUAAUAGAAAUAGCUCCAGAAAGUACAUCCACAUCAGUGCCUGUGCCGGAUAUUACUGUUCCACCUAAUCGUCCUGACAGUCCUGUGCCAGGCCCUUCAAAUUGUAGAACUGUACAAAGAGAAAGAUCGCCUAUAUCCCCCGGCGCUUCUACUCCGCGUCGUCACCGUGUCAGACAGCGAAGACUCCGCCAAACACCGUUCGACCGAGCCACUAGCGAGUUUGUUGCAAUAGAGAAGAACCGGUUGCGUUUGGAACAGGAGAGGGAAACUCGCCAACACAAUUUGGACAUGGAGCGAUUAAAAAUAGAAGCAGAGCGGGUGAAAAUGGAGGCAGAUCGCGUCCGGGUCGAAGAAGCCCGUUUGGCCAUAGAGGCAGACCUACUAGCCUCAAAUCAAACACUAAGUUCUCAAAUCACAAGUCUAAUUUCCUUAUUGGAGACUCGUGAUUUGAGACCAAGUUAGUUAUUAUACAAAAAAAAGAUGUUCUAACUAGUAUUAAUACUUACUGUGAUUUUAGUUUUUUUUUGCACUGUGCAAAUUUUUUAGAUUUAAGUUAUUAUGAUUUUGCAUGUAGUUAGUUAAUAUACAAAAAAAAGAUGAUUUAUCUAGUAUUCAAUACUUACUGUGAUUUUAUUUUUUUUUACACUGUUAUAAUUUUUUAGAUUUAAGUUAUUAUGAUUUUGCAUGUAUGUAGUUGGUAAAUAUACAAAAAGGUAAUUUAAACUACUAAAAAACCCGACUGUUUUUAUUUAUUAUUUUAUCUUCUAGAAUUAGGUUUUAG
This is an RNA transcript of Spodoptera frugiperda (fall armyworm), 2612 nucleotides long. It is a transcript of the gene named myb/SANT-like DNA-binding domain-containing protein 4, with no coding region annotated. The transcript is spliced from 6 exons. The record is from RefSeq and is a predicted model, not a curated record. NCBI's taxonomy places the organism in Eukaryota, Metazoa, Arthropoda, Insecta, Lepidoptera, Noctuidae.